This 497-nucleotide ribosomal RNA is filed under the name uncultured bacterium. RNAcentral describes it as "partial 16S ribosomal RNA". It matches the Rfam family "Bacterial small subunit ribosomal RNA", at positions 28 to 507 of the family's 1533-position model. The record is from RNAcentral.
GAUGAACGCUGGCGGCGUGCCUAAUACAUGCAAGUCGAGCGAACGGACGAGAAGCUUGCUUCUCUGAUGUUAGCGGCGGACGGGUGAGUAACACGUGGAUAACCUACCUAUAAGACUGGGAUAGCUUCGGGAAACCGGAGCUAAUACCGGAUAAUAUUUUGAACCGCAUGGUUCAAAAGUGAAAGACGGUCUUGCUGUCACUUAUAGAUGGAUCCGCGCUGCAUUAGCUAGUUGGUAAGGUAACGGCUUACCAAGGCAACGAUGCAUAGCCGACCUGAGAGGGUGAUCGGCCACACUGGAACUGAGACACGGUCCAGACUCCUACGGGAGGCAGCAGUAGGGAAUCUUCCGCAAUGGGCGAAAGCCUGACGGAGCAACGCCGCGUGAGUGAUGAAGGCCUUCGGAUCGUAAAACUCUGUUAUUAGGGAAGAACAUAUGUGUAAGUAACUGUGCACAUCUUGACGGUACCUAAUCAGAAAGCCACGGCUAACUACGUG